RNAcentral lists this ribosomal RNA (440 nucleotides) under uncultured bacterium. RNAcentral's name for it is "partial 16S ribosomal RNA". It matches the Rfam family "Bacterial small subunit ribosomal RNA", at positions 338 to 795 of the family's 1533-position model. The record is from RNAcentral.
CCUACGGGAGGCAGCAGUAGGGAAUGUUGCGCAAUGGGCGAAAGCCUGACGCAGCAACGCCGCGUGAUGGAGACGGGCUUCGGGGUGUAAAGACCUGUUAGUGGGGACGAAACUUGACGGUACCCACAGAGGAAGCACCGGCUAACUCCGUGCCAGCAGCCGCGGCAACACGGGGGGUGCAAGCGUUGUCCGGAAUCAUUGGGCGUAAAGGGUUCGUAGGCGGCUCGUAAAGUCUGGUGUUAAAGGCAGAGGCUCAACUUCUGUACGGCACUGGAUACUUGCGAGCUAGAGUGCGGUAGAGGUAAGGGGAAUUCCUGGUGUAGCGGUGAAAUGCUUAGAUAUCAGGAGGAACAUCGGUGGCGUAGGCACUUUACUGGGCCGUAAUUGACGCUGAGGAACGAAAGCCAGGGUAGCAAAUAGGAUUAGAUACCCCGGUAGUC